This is a long non-coding RNA of Sceloporus undulatus (fence lizard), 602 nucleotides long. RefSeq lists it as uncharacterized. The record is from RefSeq and is a predicted model, not a curated record. The transcript is spliced from 4 exons. NCBI's taxonomy places the organism in Eukaryota, Metazoa, Chordata, Lepidosauria, Squamata, Phrynosomatidae.
AAUGUCAUUGAACAAGAUUCUUUGAGUGAUAUAUUGUUGGAUGGAUGGGAAGUUGAAACUUCAAGCACCAGUGCAGGGGAGCAUGAUGUACAGUGAUGGUAUUAAAUCUUUAGCAUGCAGUUGCCUCAGCAGACCAGUUGAUGGAAAAGUUUUCCUUGAUAUGAGGAAGAAGUGAAUGUUGGUUUAGAUGAAAACAAUCACUUCAUGAAAAGUACACGAAACUACAAUUACCUUCGUGACAACUACAUCAUUGGCAUAAUGGAGUCAUUUUUCCUGCAAACUCUACUUUUGAUAGUGAUGGCGAGAGUUCAGUGGACAAAUUUUGUCCAAGACAGGAGCAUCUUUUCACUUCAAAGUCCUUUUAAGAAUAUUUGAGUACAAGUACAUUGCCUAUAGUUGUUUAAAUGUACUCUGAUAUGAAGUAGUGGAGUUGCACUAAUGUUCCUUGUUUUGAAGGUCUCUCACUGUUAAACACUGAGGCUUAUUUAUGAAAGAAACAUGUUUUCAUGUGUAUUUUGAGUACACUUUAUUGAAAAGUAUUUUUAGAUAAGGUUUUGUUACUAUUUGUUUAAUGAAGCAGUAAUAAAGCUUAUACUUGAAAA